AGACCAUGAUGAGGACAUCUUCGUUGUAACUCCCGAUAGCGCUCCAAAAUUUUGUACAAUAUCUCUCUUUCCUGUUGAGAGAAACUAGUUAUAUCCAUUCUAAGUUU
Molecule: small nucleolar RNA, 107 nt
Organism: Coffea arabica (coffee)
Lineage: Eukaryota; Viridiplantae; Streptophyta; Magnoliopsida; Gentianales; Rubiaceae
Source: RefSeq, a predicted model, not a curated record